GGUGACCUGCGGAAGGAUCAUUGUCGAAACCUGCAAAGCAGACCCGCGAACUCGUUACAAAAAACACCCGGGGGCGACGGCGUCGACGGAGCAGGGAGAGCCUGAUCCUUCGCGUCGAGACCCCCGUCGCCGCUGUGCGGGUGCCUGCACCCGGAGCGCGGCCUAACCAACCCCGGCGCGGAAAGCGCCAAGGAAAACGAAAAKCAUUGCUUGCCCCCGGGGGCGACCCGUUCGCGGUGUGCUCUCUCGGGGAACAUGCGUGUGUCCAAACCAAAACGACUCUCGGCAACGGAUAUCUCGGCUCUCGCAUCGAUGAAGAACGCAGCAAAAUGCGAUACUUGGUGUGAAUUGCAGAAUCCCGUGAACCAUCGAGUUUUUGAACGCAAGUUGCGCCCGAAGCCUCCGUGCUGAGGGCACGUCUGCCUGGGCGUCACGCAUCACGUCGCCAAACGCCGCCGAUCCGAAGGGACUKGUCGGCGUUCGGUCGGAUGUUGGCCUCCCGUGCGCCUCCGUGCGCGGUUGGCCCAAAUGAGAUCCGGCACCUACGCGUGCCUCGACAAUUGGUGGUUGAACUCUUCAACACGCGCGUUGUCGUGAUCCSUYGCGUUGGGWUGUCCGGAUGCUCAGGCCCCCCCGGCGCACAGCGCCCUCGAUGCGACCCCA
This 663-nucleotide unclassified non-coding RNA is filed under the name Chrysojasminum odoratissimum. RNAcentral's name for it is "partial contains internal transcribed spacer 1, 5.8S ribosomal RNA, and internal transcribed spacer 2". Lineage: Eukaryota; Viridiplantae; Streptophyta; Magnoliopsida; Lamiales; Oleaceae. The record is from RNAcentral.